This 1008-nucleotide long non-coding RNA is filed under the name Marmota monax (woodchuck). The record is from RNAcentral. Lineage: Eukaryota; Metazoa; Chordata; Mammalia; Rodentia; Sciuridae.
GUUCCAUUCAUUGUUCACACUUGUCUUAUGCAACUAUCACUACUACUUCUUUCCAAAAAUUUUUACUACGCCUAACAGAGAAGCUGUAAAUAUUAAGCAAUAACUCACCAUUUUCCCAUCCCCAAGUUCCUGAUAACCUGAAUUUAACUAGUCUAAAUAUUUCCUUUAAGUCUAAUCUCACCUAAUGUUUGCCACAAAGGAAGGCCUCAUCUGACUGAAGGUAGGAGGGCAAGAGAGAACCAACUUCUCCAUCAAACCCCUUAUAAGGGCAUCUAAUCCCAUCUGUGUCUGAUGAACACCAGUUAGCACAGUAUUUUCAGGGUUCCUCCGUGUUGUAGCAGGUGUCAGAACUUCAUACCAUUUUAAGACUGAAUACUAGUCCAUUGUAUGGCUAUACCACAUUUUGUUUAUCUGGUCAUCUAUGGUGGAUUCCUGGGCCAUGUCUACCUUUUGGCAAUUGAGAAUAGUGCUAUAGUGAACUUGGUGAUCCUGUUCCCUAUCUACAGGGUCGCCCUCCUUUUCCUCCUUUUUUAAAUAUUUUUUUGGUAUAAGGGAUUGAACUCAGAGGCACUGGACCACUGAGCCACAUCCCCAGCCCUAUUUUGUAUUUUAUUUAGAAACAGGGUCUCACUGAGCUGCUUAGCACUUCACUUUUGCUGGGCCUGGCUUUGAACUCAUGAUCCUCUUGCCUCAGCCUCCCAAGCCGCUGGGAUUACAGGCAUGUGCCACCACACCCGGCUCUUUUCCUCCUUUUCCCUUUCCUUCAAUCCCAUGGCAGCACCUGAAUCUUGGUUCUCAGACCUGUGGGGCUGCUCUGCUUCCAGCUGUGCCACCUCCACACACACACACACACUCAAGCAGAAAUAGAAAUUUUAAAAUAAAGAGAAGUUAAUGAUUGCACUAAUUAUAUUUCUAUGUCUAAAAAUUAUCUAAAAUUUUUUGAAAAACUAUAGAAAAAUUAGAAGAGGGAGAAUGUUCCCAUAAUUCUACCACUUUAAUACAAGCGAC